Molecule: microRNA precursor, 184 nt
Filed under: Oryza brachyantha (malo sina)
Lineage: Eukaryota; Viridiplantae; Streptophyta; Magnoliopsida; Poales; Poaceae
Description: MIR812 microRNA precursor family
Rfam family: MIR812 microRNA precursor family
Source: Rfam by way of RNAcentral
AAUAAACCAAUUUUUCAUUUUUUACAUACGAUUUUUGACUAUUCGUCUUAUUUAAAUUUUUUUCGAUUGAUAUUUUUAUUAGAUGAUAAAUCAUGAAUAGCACUUUACAUGUGACUAAAUUUUUUUUCUAAUUUAUAAAAAAAUUUCAAAUAAAACGGAGGGUGAAAUGUUGGACACGAAAACC